UACGUAGGGGGCAAGCGUUGUUCGGAAUUAUUGGGCGUAAAGGGUGCGUAGGCGGUUUGAUAAGUUUGAUGUGAAAUCUCUGGGCUCAACCCAGAGUCUGCAUCGAAAACUGUCGGGCUUGAGUAUGGGAGAGGUGAGUGGAAUUUCCGGUGUAGCGGUGAAAUGCGUAGAUAUCGGAAGGAACACCUGUGGCGAAAGCGGCUCACUGGACCAUUCUGA
RNAcentral lists this ribosomal RNA (219 nucleotides) under uncultured bacterium. RNAcentral describes it as "partial 16S ribosomal RNA". It matches the Rfam family "Bacterial small subunit ribosomal RNA", at positions 524 to 743 of the family's 1533-position model. The record is from RNAcentral.